AUUGAACGCUGGCGGCAUGCCUUACACAUGCAAGUCGAACGGCAGCACGGACUUCGGUCUGGUGGCGAGUGGCGAACGGGUGAGUAAUGCAUCGGAACGUGCCAUUGAGUGGGGGAUAACGUAGCGAAAGUUGCGCUAAUACCGCAUAUUCUGUGAGCAGGAAAGCAGGGACCGCAAGGCCUUGCGCUCUUUGAGCGGCCGAUGUCAGAUUAGCUAGUUGGUGAGGUAAAGGCUUACCAAGGCGACGAUCUGUAGCGGGUCUGAGAGGAUGAUCCGCCACACUGGAACUGAGACACGGUCCAGACUCCUACGGGAGGCAGCAGUGGGGAAUUUUGGACAAUGGGGGCAACCCUGAUCCAGCCAUGCCGCGUGAGUGAAGAAGGCCUUCGGGUU
RNAcentral lists this ribosomal RNA (393 nucleotides) under uncultured bacterium. RNAcentral's name for it is "bacterial SSU rRNA". It matches the Rfam family "Bacterial small subunit ribosomal RNA", at positions 30 to 424 of the family's 1533-position model. The record is from RNAcentral.